Molecule: ribosomal RNA, 254 nt
Filed under: uncultured bacterium
Lineage: Bacteria
Description: partial 16S ribosomal RNA
Rfam family: Bacterial small subunit ribosomal RNA
Source: RNAcentral
UACGGGGGGAGCAAGCGUUGUUCGGAUUUACUGGGCGUAAAGGGCGCGUAGGCGGUCAGCACAAGUCAGUUGUGAAAUCUCCGGGCUUAACUCGGAAAGGUCAACUGAUACUGUGCGACUAGAGUGCAGAAGGGGCAACUGGAAUUCUCGGUGUAGCGGUGAAAUGCGUAGAUAUCGAGAGGAACACCUGCGGCGAAGGCGGCAUCCUGGACCGACACUGACGCUGAGGAGCGAAAGCCAGGGGAGCAAACGGG